GCGAAAACUCCUCCAAUCUAUAAAAUUAGUCAAGAAAUCAGGUAGGGAUCCUCUGGUUCUUGACCCUCUAAUGCUUAAGUCAGUUCGAGUCUUAAGAAUAGAAAUGAAAAAGAGUGAAGAGCAAGAGAGAUUGAGUGAAACUAGAGGAGAACUGGAUGGAAGCCAAGAGUCUGGCCUAAUUUUCUACUGACAGAGUUUUCUCUAGUUUCAGAGAGUA
This 217-nucleotide long non-coding RNA is filed under the name Elaeis guineensis (African oil palm). Its description in RNAcentral is "long non-coding RNA (EGUI_LNC048327)". Lineage: Eukaryota; Viridiplantae; Streptophyta; Magnoliopsida; Arecales; Arecaceae. The record is from RNAcentral.